RNAcentral lists this long non-coding RNA (241 nucleotides) under Homo sapiens (human). RNAcentral describes it as "non-protein coding lnc-ETNK1-8:1". The record is from RNAcentral. Lineage: Eukaryota; Metazoa; Chordata; Mammalia; Primates; Hominidae.
AUGCCUCUCACAAAAGACCUCUUUUAUCCCUCUCCAGAAGAGGAAACACAAGGAGUGCCUGAUGCAGAGCCCCAGGCACUUCAUGGAUAUGAAAUACCCAGGAUGCUAUAAAAUCGCCAGGGUCUUUAGCCAGGCACAAACAGUAGUUUUAUGUGUUGGUGGCUCCACUGUUCUCUGCCAGCCUACAGGAGAAAAAGCAAGCCUUACAGAAGAAUGUUCCUUCAGGAGGAAGCAGCAUUAA